RNAcentral lists this ribosomal RNA (464 nucleotides) under uncultured Bacillaceae bacterium. Its description in RNAcentral is "bacterial SSU rRNA". It matches the Rfam family "Bacterial small subunit ribosomal RNA", at positions 156 to 638 of the family's 1533-position model. Lineage: Bacteria; Bacillati; Bacillota; Bacilli; Caryophanales; Bacillaceae. The record is from RNAcentral.
AGGUUAGCUAAUACCGCAUACGUCUAGUACCGCAUGGUGCAAAGAUAAAAGGAGCAAUCCACUCGAGGACGGGACCGCGUCCCAUUAGCUAGUUGGUGGGGUAAUGGCCUACCAAGGCUCCGAUGGGUAGCUGGUUUGAGAGAGCGACCAGCCACACUGGGACUGAGAAACGGCCCAGACUCCUACGGGAGGCAGCAGUGAGGAAUUUUCCGCAAUGGGCGAAAGCCUGACGGAGCGACGCCGCGUGUGGGAAGAAGGCCUUCGGGUCGUAAACCACUGUCGAAGGGGAAGAUAUUGACGGUACCCUUGGAGGAAGCCCCGGCUAACUACGUGCCAGCAGCCGCGGUAAGACGUAGGGGGCAAGCGUUAUUCGGAAUUAUUGGGCGUAAAGCGCUCGUAGGCGGGACAGGAAGUCCGUGAAGAAAGACCUGGGCUCAACUCAGGGAACGGCACGGAUACUCUUG